This 149-nucleotide unclassified non-coding RNA is filed under the name uncultured Saccharomycetales. RNAcentral describes it as "sequence contains ITS2". The record is from RNAcentral. Lineage: Eukaryota; Fungi; Ascomycota; Saccharomycetes.
CUCUCUCACUAACGUGGUUUUGUUGUUAUCUCUCUCUAAGAGAGUGCAAUGAAAAGAAAUGGCAGUACUUCAGAGUCGCUUACAGUGUUUUAGGUUCUACCAACUACACUCUCUAGCUCUCUAGUAAGUUGGCUUGAAAACUUCUUCAA